RNAcentral lists this ribosomal RNA (643 nucleotides) under uncultured bacterium. RNAcentral describes it as "bacterial SSU rRNA". The stretch from base 1 to 540 matches the Rfam family "Bacterial small subunit ribosomal RNA", at positions 338 to 873 of the family's 1533-position model. The record is from RNAcentral.
CCUACGGGAGGCAGCAGUAAGGAAUAUUGGUCAAUGGACGAAAGUCUGAACCAGCCAUGCCGCGUGAAGGAUGAAGGCCCUCUGGGUUGUAAACUUCUUUUAUCUGGGACGAAAAAAGCUCAUUCUUGAGCACUUGACGGUACCAGAGGAAUAAGCACCGGCUAACUCCGUGCCAGCAGCCGCGGUAAUACGGAGGGUGCAAGCGUUAUCCGGAUUCACUGGGUUUAAAGGGUGCGUAGGUGGGUCUGUAAGUCAGUGGUGAAAUCUCCGAGCUUAACUCGGAAACUGCCAUUGAUACUAUAGGUCUUGAAUCAUCUGGAGGUAAGCGGAAUAUGUCAUGUAGCGGUGAAAUGCUUAGAUAUGACAUAGAACACCAAUUGCGAAGGCAGCUUACUACGGGUGUAUUGACACUGAGGCACGAAAGCGUGGGGAUCAAACAGGAUUAGAUACCCUGGUAGUCCACGCCCUAAACGAUGGAUACUCGACAUCAGCGAUACACUGUUGGUUGUUCGUGAGCGAAGACGAUUAAGUUAUCCCACCCGUACGGAAGGUAACGACCCGACCGACGGUUAGUAACGUAACAAACUAGUAAGUUAGUACGGACGUUGAGACGUUGCCGACGGACGACGACGAGGGAGGAGGG